UUGGAGGGCAAGUCUGGUGCCAGCAGCCGCGGUAAUUCCAGCUCCAAUAGCGUAUAUUAAAGUUGUUGCAGUUAAAAAGCUCGUAGUUGAAUUUCGAGACCGGUUUACUGGUCGUGCUUUUGUACGUACUGGUAUUAUUGGUUUCUCCUUUCUGACGAAUCAUAAUGCCAUUAAUUUGGUGUUUUGGGGAAUCAGGACUGUUACUUUGAAAAAAUUAGAGUGUUUAAAGCAGGCUCACGCUUGAAUACAUUAGCAUGGAAUAACGAAAUAGGACGUUUG
This 279-nucleotide ribosomal RNA is filed under the name uncultured Glomus. RNAcentral describes it as "partial 18S ribosomal RNA". It matches the Rfam family "Eukaryotic small subunit ribosomal RNA", at positions 548 to 833 of the family's 1831-position model. The record is from RNAcentral. Lineage: Eukaryota; Fungi; Glomeromycota; Glomeromycetes; Glomerales; Glomeraceae.